This 2970-nucleotide unclassified non-coding RNA is filed under the name Hevea brasiliensis (rubber tree). Lineage: Eukaryota; Viridiplantae; Streptophyta; Magnoliopsida; Malpighiales; Euphorbiaceae. The record is from RNAcentral.
AAUCAAGUUCUCACCCCUAGAUGUAGGAUACAUCUCUAUCAUCAAAGCCCUGCAUUGAUUAACAUCAAGUUUUAACCAUUACAUCAGCACCUUUCACUUGAUUCAGCAGCUAAAAAUUCACGCACACCUACGCUAAUAAUUUCGAGUCAUGCAAAAUAUUUUGGCUCAAAUUCUGUAAUCUGCACGCUGGUAAGUACAAGCUACAUAUGUCUUAUAGUUCUCUUACAGCUUUUCACAGAAAUUGCUAUGAGAAGAUUCAAUGGUUGCAUGUAAAGGAAAUUUAGCAGAUGAUAACUUAUGGUAAGCACCAAGUGCUGUGGAAACUAAAGACAUCAGCACGUUAACCAGUAAGACCAAACCAAUAUGAAUUGCCAGCUAGCCGAUAGAAAAAGCAGCCAGACCUAUCAACAGGUCCUCUUCCCAUAUGUUCCGGUAAUGGACAUGAUCACUAUCCACACAAUUGAAUCAUUAACAAACUCAGUUGACAGACAGCAGGAAGGCAUACAUCUUUUUCCUCUUUCAUUUUUCUCUUUCCUUUUCUCUUUCCCCUUUUUGAUAGUAUGACAAUCUUACCCUUCAUUUCUCCAACAAAUUCUUGGAAUUGAAAAAGCCAUCUAGAAACAAGAUCUUGGUUGCGUCAUUGACUCAUCUCAUGAACUAAUCAAAUAAGAGAGUAACAAAGUUGGUGGAUAAGGGUUUUGCUCCGAAUCAGCAAAGGGGCAAUAAAAAGCAGAAUGUCAAAAUCUAAUUGAAAGGACAAGAAGGCUAGAUCAAGAUACAGUGAAUGAUUGUAAAGGUAACGCCAAUUAUCCUCGUUACACAGUAGGUCGCAUCAGAUAAGCUACAAUCACAACACCACAGAGUUUCAGGAAAUAGACCGACUCUCUUUGUCCAGUGAUAUGUGAACUCUUAAAAUGUCCAACCUUCUAUGAUAAGACACCUUGCCAAAUAGCAUGAAUCACAAGCAUUUUCCUCCUUUAGUUUUCCACCAAAAAAAAGGAAUCAGAAUUCAAUUUGAAAUAUUAUUUUGGUGAAAAAGAUGAAAACCCCGUUUCCACUGAAUUUAUCAAACAUUUCAUAAGGAUAGCAUUUGAAAUAAAAAGAAAAAUAAAACAUGUCGAGCAAAUAUCAUGAUGGUGUAAUUAAUUAUAUAAGAUGUUUGAUAACAAAAACAAAUGAUUAAACAGCAUCCAAAAUUAUUAAAUUGUGCACUUAACUCGGAUUCAUAGAUAAACCAAUUCAUAAGUGAGUUGGGCUGUGAGAACUGGCAUUGAUUUUAGAGUGUACCUGAGAUGAGCAAGGGCACCUGAUUUUAACUUUCACGCAUCUGCAGGUAGACUUAUUUCUUGAAAUUCUAUACAUACACAUACAUAUAGAUGGAGGGCGACGGAUGAAGAAUUCAUACCAUGAAAAGGAACCAAAAUGCACAACCCAUUGUAUGCAUCUCGCUUUCUUAUUUAUUUCAUAUCAAAGUCGGAUAUGGACUCGGGCUAUGAUUACAAUAAAGAAAUGUCAAUCUAGGUGACAGCUGAUAUUGGAUCUAGGUAAUAAAAAAUUCGAAGCAAAAUGACUGUAGGAGAAGCAAGCAUGGAUCAAGGACAACGAGGACCUAGAAUUACUCUAAUUCCGUUAGGGCCUCUGCUCCAGCUACAAUCUCCAGUAUUUCCCCUGUAAUUUUUGCUUGUCUUUCCCGAUUGUAUGCAAUAGAAAGAUUCUUUUUCAAAUCAACUGCAUUAUCUGUUGCGUUACUCAUGGAAUUCAUCCUUGCUGCAAGCUCACUAGCCAAUGACUCCUGCAGUGCCCUCAAAACAUGACUAUUUAGAUAGAGAGGCAUCAUAGCAUCAAGAAUCUGAAUUGGAUCUUGCUCAAACUGCAAAAGAGGUGAAAAUCCCUCCUUCUUUGUUCUUACACUCUCCCUCUCAAUAGCCAACUUCCCUUCCUUACUGGUCAACCUAAAGAACUCAUCAUCUGCAGCAUCAACACAAUUCCCAUUCAUAUCGCAAACCUCUCCUCUACGUGACAAUGGCAACAGCGUAUGAAUCACCGGGUCAGACUUCACCAAAGACACAAACUUAGUAUACACAAGCUCUACCUUAUCAACCUCUUCACUGACAAACAGUGAAAAUACUUCAUCAGCAAUCAGUUGAGCCUCUUUAGCUGUGGGAAAACUCCCUCCCUCAAUAAAUCUUUCCACGGAAAUCUUAGGUCUACGCUUAAAAUAGGCAUUACCCUUCCUGCCCACACUAAUCACAGAGUAAUCUAACCCCAGUUUUUCCAAUUCCAUAAUCCGGGUCUCAACCUUUUUUAGCACUGCAUUGUUAAAACCACCACAAAGGCCUCUAUCACCAGUAACAACAACAAGUGCUACUUUCCUUACAGACCUAACAUUCGUUAAUGGAACAUCAAUAUCUUCCAAUUGGAGCUGUUCGUUGAUGAUAUAAAGCAUUUCAAGGAGGGCUUCAGUAAAGGGUCUGCUGUUGAUAACAGCUUCUUGAGCUCUUCGGAUCUUAGCAGCUGCAACUAGUUUCAUUGCCUCAGUAAUCUUCUGGGCGCUUUUGACAGUAUUAAUCCGACCUUUUAACUCGCGAAGACCACAACGAAUCUGAGUAUAUAAUGAAGAUUGAGAGAAGGUAUUGUAUGGAGGGGGCACUUGGGCUAAAUGGCGAAAUGGGUUUGAUUGGAAUUGAAAAGAAAAUGCAUAUGUGUUAGGUUUUGACGGAUUUGGGGAAACCCACGAGGUUAGAUUGGAACAGAACAUGGUUUUGAUGAAUUUCUAUUGAUGAGAUUUCAGUACCAUAUGAGGUUGAAUAUAAAUUGGAUCUCUUCAAAACCCCUUUACCAAAGAAACUUGGGUUUUAGCAGAGAUCAAAGUGAAAAAAGAAUUUUGCGCUACAGGAGCAUUUCGGAUCGAUAGCAGCGUGAAUUUGAUCUAGCUCACCGGAAAGAAGUUGUGAGAGAGAGAGAGAGAGA